RNAcentral lists this transfer RNA (68 nucleotides) under Charinus carajas. RNAcentral describes it as "tRNA-Lys". Lineage: Eukaryota; Metazoa; Arthropoda; Arachnida; Amblypygi; Charinidae. The record is from RNAcentral.
CAUUAGAUGGCCGAAACUCCUAAGCAAUGGUCUCUUAAACCAAAUCAUGAUAUAUUUAUCUCUAAUGA